UGCUUAUACCAUAUUUUAGGGCAUUAGGU
Molecule: non-coding RNA, 29 nt
Filed under: Mus musculus (house mouse)
Lineage: Eukaryota; Metazoa; Chordata; Mammalia; Rodentia; Muridae
Source: RNAcentral